Molecule: unclassified non-coding RNA, 329 nt
Filed under: soil metagenome
Description: partial contains 5.8S ribosomal RNA, internal transcribed spacer 2, and large subunit ribosomal RNA
Rfam family: 5.8S ribosomal RNA (bases 1-120)
Source: RNAcentral
GAUGAAGAACGUAGCGAAAUGCGAUAAGUAAUGUGAAUUGCAGAAUUCAGUGAAUCAUCGAAUCUUUGAACGCACAUUGCGCCCUCUGGUAUUCCGGGGGGCAUGCCUGUUCGAGCGUCAUUAUAACCACUCAAGCUCUCGCUUGGUAUUGGGGUUCGCGGUUCCGCGGCCCCUAAAAUCAGUGGCGGUGCCUGUCGGCUCUACGCGUAGUAAUACUCCUCGCGAUUGAGUCCGGUAGGUCUACUUGCCAGCAACCCCCAAUUUUUACAGGUUGACCUCGGAUCAGGUAGGGAUACCCGCUGAACUUAAGCAUAUCAAUAAGCGGAGGA